GUGGGGAAUCUUAGACAAUGGGCGCAAGCCUGAUCUAGCCAUGCCGCGUGAGUGAUGAAGGCCUUAGGGUCGUAAAGCUCUUUCGCUGGGGAAGAUAAUGACUGUACCCAGUAAAGAAACCCCGGCUAACUCCGUGCCAGCAGCCGCGGUAAUACGGAGGGGGUUAGCGUUGUUCGGAAUUACUGGGCGUAAAGCGCGCGUAGGCGGAUUAGAAAGUUAGGGGUGAAAUCCCAGGGCUCAACCCUGGAACUGCCUCUAAAACUCCUAGUCUUGAGGUCGAGAGAGGUGAGUGGAAUUCCGAGUGUAGAGGUGAAAUUCGUAGAUAUUCGGAGGAACACCAGUGGCGAAGGCGGCUCACUGGCUCGAUACUGACGCUGAGGUGCGAAAGCGUGGGGAGCAAACAGGAUUAGAAACCCCAGUAGUCC
This 425-nucleotide ribosomal RNA is filed under the name uncultured bacterium. RNAcentral describes it as "bacterial SSU rRNA". It matches the Rfam family "Bacterial small subunit ribosomal RNA", at positions 354 to 796 of the family's 1533-position model. The record is from RNAcentral.